RNAcentral lists this ribosomal RNA (494 nucleotides) under uncultured bacterium. Its description in RNAcentral is "partial 16S ribosomal RNA". It matches the Rfam family "Bacterial small subunit ribosomal RNA", at positions 28 to 507 of the family's 1533-position model. The record is from RNAcentral.
GACGAACGCUGGCGGCGUGCCUAAUACAUGCAAGUAGAACGCUGAAGAGAGGAGCUUGCUCUUGGAUGAGUUGCGAACGGGUGAGUAACGCGUAGGUAACCUGCCUUGUAGCGGGGGAUAACUAUUGGAAACGAUAGCUAAUACCGCAUAACAAUGGAUGACACAUGUCAUUUAUUUGAAAGGGGCAAUUGCUCCACUACAAGAUGGACCUGCGUUGUAUUAGCUAGUAGGUGAGGUAAUGGCUCACCUAGGCGACGAUACAUAGCCGACCUGAGAGGGUGAUCGGCCACACUGGGACUGAGACACGGCCCAGACUCCUACGGGAGGCAGCAGUAGGGAAUCUUCGGCAAUGGGGGCAACCCUGACCGAGCAACGCCGCGUGAGUGAAGAAGGUUUUCGGAUCGUAAAGCUCUGUUGUAAGUCAAGAACGGGUGUGAGAGUGGAAAGUGCACACUGUGACGGUAGCUUACCAGAAAGGGACGGCUAACUACGUA